UGGAAACAAAAGGUGUUAGUUUGCUGUA
Molecule: non-coding RNA, 28 nt
Filed under: Mus musculus (house mouse)
Lineage: Eukaryota; Metazoa; Chordata; Mammalia; Rodentia; Muridae
Source: RNAcentral